RNAcentral lists this ribosomal RNA (898 nucleotides) under Bartalinia robillardoides. RNAcentral describes it as "partial large subunit ribosomal RNA". It matches the Rfam family "Eukaryotic large subunit ribosomal RNA", at positions 37 to 960 of the family's 3401-position model. Lineage: Eukaryota; Fungi; Ascomycota; Sordariomycetes; Amphisphaeriales; Sporocadaceae. The record is from RNAcentral.
AGCAUAUCAAUAAGCGGAGGAAAAGAAACCAACAGGGAUUGCCUUAGUAACGGCGAGUGAAGCGGCAAUAGCUCAAAUUUGAAAUCUGGCGCUUGCGUCCGAGUUGUAAUUUGUAGAGGAUGAUUUUGGUUAGGUACCUUUCGAGUUCCUUGGAACAGGACGCCUUAGAGGGUGAGAGCCCCGUACGAUUGGAUGCCGAGCCUCUGUAAAUCUCCUUCGACGAGUCGAGUAGUUUGGGAAUGCUGCUCUAAAUGGGAGGUAAAUUUCUUCUAAAGCUAAAUACCGGCCAGAGACCGAUAGCGCACAAGUAGAGUGAUCGAAAGAUGAAAAGCACUUUGAAAAGAGGGUUAAAUAGCACGUGAAAUUGUUGAAAGGGAAGGAUUUAUGACCAGACUUUUUCUAGGAGAAUCAUCCGGUGUUCUCACCGGUGCACUUCUUUUAGUUUAGGCCAGCAUCGACUUUCGGCGGUGGAUAAAAGCUUUAGGAAUGUGGCUUCCCUCGGGAAGUGUUAUAGCCUAUUGUAUAAUACACUGCUGGGGGUCGAGGUACGCGCUUCUGCAAGGAUGCUGGCGUAAUGGUUAUCAAUCACCCGUCUUGAAACACGGACCAAGGAGUCGAACAUUUGUGCGAGUGUUUGGGUGUUAAACCCUCACGCGUAAUGAAAGUGAACGGAGGUGAGAGCCCUUACGGGUGCAUCAUCGACCGAUCCUGAUGUUUUCGGAUGGAUUUGAGUAAGAGCAUAAAUGUUCGGACCCGAAAGAUGGUGAACUAUGCGUGGAUAGGGUGAAGCCAGAGGAAACUCUGGUGGAGGCUCGCAGCGGUUCUGACGUGCAAAUCGAUCGUCAAAUCUGCGCAUGGGGGCGAAAGACUAAUCGAACCAUCUAGUAGCUGGUUACCG